This 532-nucleotide long non-coding RNA is filed under the name Setaria viridis. RNAcentral describes it as "long non-coding RNA (SVIR_LNC000386)". The record is from RNAcentral. Lineage: Eukaryota; Viridiplantae; Streptophyta; Magnoliopsida; Poales; Poaceae.
AGAUGAUCAGGUGUAGUAUCACAAUUUUUUCAUACAUUUCAUAUGCAAUACGUUAAUCAUUUUUUUUUGAUCAGGUGUGUAUAUUUCACAAUUGCAGUGAGAGAUUCGAAAUUCAUAGAACAUUCAUACAAAAUCAGAUGAAAGAAACAUCACUUUGGACUACAACUUUAUAGCUAAAAACCUUGUCACUCGAAGUCCUUUAAAUGUCUAAAUCUGAGCAGUUAUCUACCCCUUAUCUAAACUUUCGGAUAACAAGGCACAAAGAAAGAAAAUGACAUUGCUAUUAGAUUGUUCAUGUGAGAUGGUAAGCAAUUUAACUUUGUGCAUGCGAGGUGCUUGAGCGUUCUUUUUCAAAUAUUUUUAGAACAAAAACUAGUGAUGUUACAACCCGCAAGCAUCUAUGUUUUUUUAGUACGGAGUGGAAGUAGACGGCUUAAUAAAAGUACUCACUUCAUUUCAAAUUGGAAGUAGUUUUGACUUUUCUAAGUUUAUAGGUGUUGUCAUGUAUUUAGACGUAGUAUAUAUCUAGAUA